This 504-nucleotide ribosomal RNA is filed under the name uncultured bacterium. RNAcentral describes it as "bacterial SSU rRNA". It matches the Rfam family "Bacterial small subunit ribosomal RNA", at positions 903 to 1397 of the family's 1533-position model. The record is from RNAcentral.
AAAUGAAUUGACGGGGGCUCACACAAGCGGUGGAGCAUGUGGCUCAAUUCGAAGCAACGCGAAGAACCUUAUCCUGGGCUUGACAUGCAUGGAUUAGGUCCUGGAAACAGGACUGACGCUCUCACGAGUGGAACAUGCACAGGUGCUGCAUGGCUGUCGUCAGCUCGUGCUGUGAAGUGUCGGGUUAAGUCCCUUAACGAGCGAAACCCCUGUCGUUAGUUGCCACCAGGUUAUGCUGAGCACUCUAGCGAGACUGCCGGUGUCAAACCGGAGGAAGGUGGGGAUGACGUCAAGUCCUCAUGGCCUUUAUGCCCAGGGCUGCACACGUGCUACAAUGGCGCGGUACAAAGCGACGCUAGACCGCAAGGUGACGCAAAUCGCAAAAAACGCGCCCCAGUUCAGAUUGAGGUCUGCAACUCGACCUCAUGAAGUUGGAAUCGCUAGUAAUCGCGGAUCAGCUACGCCGCGGUGAAUGUGUUCCUGAGCCUUGUACACACCGCCCGU